Long non-coding RNA from Solanum lycopersicum (tomato), 710 nucleotides. RefSeq lists it as uncharacterized. The record is from RefSeq and is a predicted model, not a curated record. Lineage: Eukaryota; Viridiplantae; Streptophyta; Magnoliopsida; Solanales; Solanaceae.
CACAGUUGCCCGCUGUCAUAAACUAAAGGAGAGGAAAACUCGCCCAAAGUUUGUCUUAGUUGUGUGUUGCUAUGGCGUGCAUGUACACACUCUCUAUUUGCAAAUUUCAUUACUAUAUAGCUCACGUCAUUCCAACAGCUGGUGGGGGGCACCUCUAUCAUGCACAGGAACUGGAGUCCUAUUACACCCCAAGACAAAGUUUGUCUUCAAUUGUUCUUCGCUAUGGCAUAAUGGGGGAGAGGAAUCAAAUGGAACAUAUUCAGGUUUAGAAUCAAGAAGCACAAGAGAUCGAGGGGAGUGAAUCGGAGACUUACCAGCAUGAAAAUAUUUCCUACUCAAUUUGACAGUUGUACUUAGGCUUGUGCAAAAUUCAGGGGUCGGGUUGGGAAGAUGGAAUUUUGGGCUACACGAGACCCCGAUGAGAGUUGGAUGACAGUAAGGCCUUACAGGUGUUGCUGGCGCCUGACUUGUUAUUGUGUUGAAUGAGAAGAAAGACAAAGGUGAAAGGGACUAUUUUUACUUACCUUUUUGCAUUUCGUUUUGUUUGAUUUGUCAUAUCUUUGGAUUUUGCUGCCAUAUUUGUUUCUUUUCAUCUUCUUCUAGAAUUUCAAAAUUUUACACAUUUGGAAGCCUCACUUUGUGGAUUCACGAGAAGAGGGAGUUGUUGUACCUUCUCAAUUACAUGAUUAAUAGAAUAUAUCUUUUUUAUA